GAGUUUGAUCGUGGCUCAGGAUGAACGCUGGCGGCGUGCCUAAUACAUGCAAGUCGAGCGAACGGACGAGAAGCUUUGCUUCUCUGAUGUUAGCGGCGGACGGGUGAGUAACACGUGGAUAACCUACCUAUAAGACUGGGAUAACUUCGGGAAACCGGAGCUAAUACCGGAUGAUAUUUUGAACCGCAUGGUUCAAAAAGUGAAAGACGGUCUUGCUGUCACUUAUAGAUGGAUCCGCGUUGCAUUAGCUAGUUGGUAAGGUAACGGCUUACCAAGGCAACGAUGCAUAGCCGACCUGAGAGGGUGAUCGGCCACACUGGAACUGAGACACGGUCCAGACUCCUACGGGAGGCAGCAGUAGGGAAUCUUCCGCAAUGGGCAAAGCCUGACGGAGCAACGCCGCGUGAGUGAUGAAGGUC
This 419-nucleotide ribosomal RNA is filed under the name uncultured microorganism. RNAcentral's name for it is "bacterial SSU rRNA". It matches the Rfam family "Bacterial small subunit ribosomal RNA", at positions 9 to 416 of the family's 1533-position model. The record is from RNAcentral.